This 70-nucleotide transfer RNA is filed under the name Cricetulus griseus (Chinese hamster). It matches the Rfam family "tRNA". Rfam says of the family: Transfer RNA (tRNA) molecules are approximately 80 nucleotides in length. Their secondary structure includes four short double-helical elements and three loops (D, anti-codon, and T loops). The record is from Rfam by way of RNAcentral. Lineage: Eukaryota; Metazoa; Chordata; Mammalia; Rodentia; Cricetidae.
GGGAGAUGGCUCAGUGGUUAAGAGCACUAGCUAAUCUUCCAGAGGACCUGGGUUCAAUUCCCAGCACCCA